RNAcentral lists this ribosomal RNA (1055 nucleotides) under Macrococcoides caseolyticum. RNAcentral's name for it is "bacterial SSU rRNA". It matches the Rfam family "Bacterial small subunit ribosomal RNA", at positions 78 to 1105 of the family's 1533-position model. The record is from RNAcentral. Lineage: Bacteria; Bacillati; Bacillota; Bacilli; Caryophanales; Staphylococcaceae.
GCUUGCACUCCUCUGAUGUUAGCGGCGGACGGGUGAGUUAACACGUGGGUUAACCUACCUAUAAGACUGGGAUAACUUCGGGAAACCGGAGCUAAUACCGGAUAAUAUUUAGCUUCGCAUGAAGCAAUAGUGAAAGACGGUUCUGCUGUCACUUAUAGAUGGACCCGCGGUGUAUUAGCUAGUUGGUGAGGUAACGGCUCACCAAGGCAACGAUACAUAGCCGACCUGAGAGGGUGAUCGGCCACACUGGGACUGAGACACGGCCCAGACUCCUACGGGAGGCAGCAGUAGGGAAUCUUCCGCAAUGGACGAAAGUCUGACGGAGCAACGCCGCGUGAGUGAAGAAGGUUUUCGGAUCGUAAAACUCUGUUGUAAGGGAAGAACAAGUACGUUAGUAACUGAACGUACCUUGACGGUACCUUACCAGAAAGCCACGGCUAACUACGUGCCAGCAGCCGCGGUAAUACGUAGGUGGCAAGCGUUAUCCGGAAUUAUUGGGCGUAAAGCGCGCGUAGGCGGUCUCUUAAGUCUGAUGUGAAAGCCCCCGGCUCAACCGGGGAGGGUCAUUGGAAACUGGGAGACUUGAGUGCAGAAGAGGAGAGUGGAAUUCCAUGUGUAGCGGUGAAAUGCGCAGAGAUAUGGAGGAACACCAGUGGCGAAGGCGGCUCUCUGGUCUGUAACUGACGCUGAGGUGCGAAAGCGUGGGGAUCAAACAGGAUUAGAUACUCUGGUAGUCCACGCCGUACACGAUGAGUGCUAAGUGUUGGGGGGUUUCCGCCCCUCAGUGCUGCAGCUAACGCAUUAAGCACUCCGCCUGGGGAGUACGGUCGCGAGACUGAAACUCACAGGAAUUGACGGGGACGCGCACAAGCAGUGGAGCAUGUGGUUUAUUUUAAGCAACGCGAAGACCGUUACCAAUUCUUGACAUCUGUUGUCCAUUCGAGAGAUAGAGAUAUCGACUUCGCGCUACAGGUGACAAGUGGCGCGUGGUGCCGUCAUCUCAUCACCUGAGAUCUUGGGAAAGUUGGGUUAACUCCCGCAACGAUCGCAUCCUU